AACGCUAGCUACAGGCUUAACACAUGCAAGUCGAGGGGCAGCAUUGGAGUAGCAAUACUUCAGAUGGCGACCGGCGCACGGGUGAGUAACACGUAUCCAACCUGCCGCUUACUCGGGGAUAGCCUUUCGAAAGAAAGAUUAAUACCCGAUGGUAUAAAGAGUUCGCAUGUUCUCUUUAUUAAAGAAUUUCGGUAAGCGAUGGGGAUGCGUUCCAUUAGAUUGUUGGCGGGGUAACGGCCCACCAAGUCUACGAUGGAUAGGGGUUCUGAGAGGAAGGUCCCCCACAUCGGAACUGAGACACGGUCCAAACUCCUACGGGAGGCAGCAGUGAGGAAUAUUGGUCAAUGGACGAGAGUCUGAACCAGCCAAGUAGCGUGAAGGAUGACUGCCCUAUGGGUUGUAAACUUCUUUUAUAAGGGAAUAAAGUGAGGGACGUGUCCCUUUUUGUAUGUACCUUAUGAAUAAGGAUCGGCUAACUCCGUGCCAGCAGCCGCGGUAAUACGGAGGAUCCAAGCGUUAUCCGGAUUUAUUGGGUUUAAAGGGAGCGUAGGUUGACAUAUAAGUCAGCUGUGAAAGUUUACGGCUCAACCGUGAAAUUGCAGUUGAUACUGUAUGUCUUGAGUGUACAAGAGGUGGGCGGAAUUCGUGGUGUAGCGGUGAAAUGCUUAGAUAUCACGAAGAACUCCGAUUG
This 691-nucleotide ribosomal RNA is filed under the name uncultured bacterium. RNAcentral describes it as "bacterial SSU rRNA". It matches the Rfam family "Bacterial small subunit ribosomal RNA", at positions 32 to 715 of the family's 1533-position model. The record is from RNAcentral.